AAGAGUUUUUGAUCAUGGGCUCAGAUUUAAACGCUGGCGGCAGGCCUAAACACAUGCAA
RNAcentral lists this ribosomal RNA (59 nucleotides) under Escherichia coli. Its description in RNAcentral is "partial 16S ribosomal RNA". Lineage: Bacteria; Pseudomonadati; Pseudomonadota; Gammaproteobacteria; Enterobacterales; Enterobacteriaceae. The record is from RNAcentral.